GCUCUGUGCUACUACGGGAGUACAAGAUUCUUCCUUUAAAAGAUCUGCUAUCAGAGCAGGCCCUCUUCCACAUCGAGCUAAGUUCGGCUGAUCUCGGAGGUUAGUUCGGUUAACCCUAGCUUUUUCCUUCUGAUAUUGUCUUUUAAUUUGUCGACUGUGGGGCAAUAUAGGGAUGAGGCUGGAAGAGAUCGAAGCACUCCUAAGGAGGAGUACCCAGCAAGAGCGUGAGGCACUUCAAAGAGGGAGCACCCAACAACAAAAGAGGAAAGGGGUCCUUUCAAUUGCCACAGGGGUUGCUAAGAAGUCGUAGCCCAUCGGGGUAAGUGCUAGG
Molecule: long non-coding RNA, 331 nt
Filed under: Elaeis guineensis (African oil palm)
Lineage: Eukaryota; Viridiplantae; Streptophyta; Magnoliopsida; Arecales; Arecaceae
Description: long non-coding RNA (EGUI_LNC062111)
Source: RNAcentral